This 252-nucleotide ribosomal RNA is filed under the name uncultured bacterium. RNAcentral's name for it is "partial 16S ribosomal RNA". It matches the Rfam family "Bacterial small subunit ribosomal RNA", at positions 524 to 776 of the family's 1533-position model. The record is from RNAcentral.
UACGUAGGGGGCGAGCGUUAUCCGGAUUUAUUGGGCGUAAAGGGUGUGUAGGCGGUUUGUUAAGUCUAAAAUCAAAGCCCGAGGCUUAACCUCGGUUCGUUUUAGAAACUGGCAAACUAGAGUACAGUAGAGGCAAGUGGAAUUUCUAGUGUAGCGGUUAAAUGCGUAGAUAUUAGAAGGAACACCAGUGGCGAAGGCGGCUUGCUGGGCUGUUACUGACGCUGAGACACGAAAGCGUGGGGAGCAAAUAGG